UGCGGGCUGGCGCGCCGGUUGUUUUGUUGGGAGUGCGGCUGGUCUUGCUCCUGCGCUUGCUUGGAUUGGGGACGCGGGCGCGAGGCUUGGAGGGCGUGACACGGGUGGGUCGCUCCGUGUCUGCGCCGCUUGACCUGUCCCCCCCCCCCCGCGUGAGUCCGCCGCCUGCGCCCCGCUUUCCGUGCCCGCGGGGCUGCUCCUGGCCAGCGAGGAUUUAUCCAUCGGCUCCGCCGGCGGUCGCUGCCGCGCGGCUCCCUCGACUCCGUGCCUGCGUUUCGCGGCGUCUCGUCCGGUCCCCCCCGGGCAGGCGGGCGGGCCAUGGAGGAGAAGUACCUGCCGGAGCUGAUGGCGGAGAAGGAUUCCCUGGAUCCGUCCUUUACCCACGCGCUGCGCCUGGUCAACCAAGAAAUCGAUAAAUUCCAAAAAGGGGAAGGCAAAGAAGAAGAAAAGUAUAUUGAUGUAGUGAUUAACAAAAAUAUGAAACUGGGACAGAAAGUAUUAAUUCCAGUAAAACAGUUUCCCAAGUUCAACUUUGUGGGGAAACUUUUGGGCCCACGUGGCAAUUCUCUGAAGCGCUUGCAAGAAGAGACAUUGACAAAAAUGUCAAUAUUGGGAAAAGGAUCCAUGAGGGACAAAGCAAAGGAAGAAGAGUUGAGGAAAAGUGGAGAAGCAAAAUAUUUUCACCUAAAUGACGACCUGCAUGUGCUAAUUGAGGUAUUUGCUCCACCAGCAGAAGCAUAUGCCAGGAUGGGACAUGCACUGGAAGAAAUUAAGAAGUUCCUCAUCCCUGACUACAAUGAUGAAAUCCGACAGGCGCAGUUGCAAGAACUAACUUACUUGAAUGGUGGUUCUGAAAAUGCGGAAGUCCCAGUAAUCCGUGGAAAGCUACCUCUACGGGCACGGGGAGCACCAGCCCCUGCUUUGGCAAGAGCCCGUGGAGGUGUGCCACCUCCACCCGCAGGUGUUCCAAGAGGGGCACCUGCACCAAGAGGAAUACCACCGGGCCGAGGACCUGUCAGUCGUGGCAGAGGUCUUCUAACUCCAAGGACAAGAGGAGUUCCUCCAUCUGCAAGCUACCGGCCUCUUCCACCACCUCCAGCACAGGAUACCUAUGGAGACUAUGAAUAUGACGACGGAUAUGGCACUUCGUAUGAUGAGCAGAGUUAUGAUUCCUACGAUAACAGCUAUAGUACUUCAGCGCAAAGCGGGGCCGAUUACUACGAUUACGCCCAUGGGCUGAGUGAGGAGACAUACGAUUCUUACAGACAGGAAGACUGGACCAACUCAAGACACAAGGCACCUCCGGCGAGAACAGCAAAGGGAGCCUACAGAGAGCAGCCAUAUGCCAGAUACUGAUUAUACUGUCUGAUGUUGUGAAAUACCCAAUCUCCACCAGUCCUGUAUACUGUUCAAAAAUUUUGGUACCUUAAUGACAACCUCGCUCCGUGCUGGAAGCAAUAAACACAAAGCUUUUAAAGACUUUCUGACUUGACUAAUUGCGGUCGCUUUCGUCAGAGGCAGAGGAUGUGUAACCCUUAAAACGGUCUUCAUUUGCAAAGGAAACAUGGAAUGCCAUGGAAAGCCAAGAGGAUGCAAAACCUGUUUCUGUUGAUAUUUCGGGACUCGGCUCGCUCUCGUGGACAGAUUCAAAGUACAACCCUCACCGACGUGCCUCAGAAGCAUUUGCCAGCAGCUAUUUCAAACUCCAGUUUGAUUUCCUUUUUAUGCUACCUGCUGUAAUUCUGUAACUUGUGCAGCUUUUCAGACCUCAGUUUUAACUCUCGCAUGUUUAUUCAUUUAAGUCGUGUAACUUUGUGAAGGUGUUAAUAAAAGAGUUUUCCAUUUCUUUGUGCA
This is an RNA transcript of Varanus komodoensis (Komodo dragon), 1854 nucleotides long. It is a transcript of the gene named KH RNA binding domain containing, signal transduction associated 3, with no coding region annotated. The transcript has 12 exons. The record is from RefSeq and is a predicted model, not a curated record. NCBI's taxonomy places the organism in Eukaryota, Metazoa, Chordata, Lepidosauria, Squamata, Varanidae.